UAAAAGUCGUAACAAGGUUUCCGUAGGUGAACCUGCGGAAGGAUCAUUAGUGAAGCUUGCUAAUCUGACGGCAAGUUGUGAGCUGUCGAGAUGUGUGUUUAGUAUUGUGAAUGGAUUUUGAACAGUCGAGGCUAGCCUCGCAAGUAUAUCGACAGGUAUUGUCGAUUGAUGGUGGACCAAUUAGCUGGUGGGUCGAUGAAGGACACAGCUAGCUGUGCGAAAGAAUGUGAAUUGCAGGACACAUGAGCAUCGACACUUUGAACGCAUAUUGCGGGUGAAUGGAUUCCAUUCACCCAGUCAUGGAUCAAGGCCGGUUAACAACUGGAAAGCUAGAAGGCUUCGUGUAUCUGACUGCUUGUCAGAGCGUUGCCGCUUAAUCGAGAAAAGCUGUCUGGUUCCCGUCGAGUUAAAGCCAUUCAGUCGUGAGAGAAGCACGGCAGGCAUGAAUGGUUGACGGGAGAUAAAAGCCUGAUAGCGUGGUGAGCAGGGAUCGAAACGGAAACGACCCCUAACCUGACACAUCCAUAUAACCGCGGCUUGAUCUCAUGACAGGCUACCCGCUGAAUUUAAGCAUAUCAA
Molecule: ribosomal RNA, 579 nt
Filed under: uncultured eukaryote
Lineage: Eukaryota
Description: eukaryotic LSU rRNA
Rfam family: 5.8S ribosomal RNA (bases 161-313)
Source: RNAcentral